Molecule: ribosomal RNA, 498 nt
Filed under: Salmonella enterica
Lineage: Bacteria; Pseudomonadati; Pseudomonadota; Gammaproteobacteria; Enterobacterales; Enterobacteriaceae
Also listed under: 1 other name
Description: bacterial SSU rRNA
Rfam family: Bacterial small subunit ribosomal RNA
Source: RNAcentral
AAAUUGAAGAGUUUGAUCAUGGCUCAGAUUGAACGCUGGCGGCAGGCCUAACACAUGCAAGUCGAACGGUAACAGGAAGCAGCUUGCUGUUUCGCUGACGAGUGGCGGACGGGUGAGUAAUGUCUGGGAAACUGCCUGAUGGAGGGGGAUAACUACUGGAAACGGUGGCUAAUACCGCAUAACGUCGCAAGACCAAAGAGGGGGACCUUCGGGCCUCUUGCCAUCAGAUGUGCCCAGAUGGGAUUAGCUUGUUGGUGAGGUAACGGCUCACCAAGGCGACGAUCCCUAGCUGGUCUGAGAGGAUGACCAGCCACACUGGAACUGAGACACGGUCCAGACUCCUACGGGAGGCAGCAGUGGGGAAUAUUGCACAAUGGGCGCAAGCCUGAUGCAGCCAUGCCGCGUGUAUGAAGAAGGCCUUCGGGUUGUAAAGUACUUUCAGCGGGGAGGAAGGUGUUGUGGUUAAUAACCACAGCAAUUGACGUUACCCGCAGAAGA